This 275-nucleotide long non-coding RNA is filed under the name Nicotiana benthamiana. Its description in RNAcentral is "long non-coding RNA (NBEN_LNC006912)". The record is from RNAcentral. Lineage: Eukaryota; Viridiplantae; Streptophyta; Magnoliopsida; Solanales; Solanaceae.
GUUAGCAUGUCAUUAUCAUCCUCCCCACAAUCCCUAGAAUUAUACGUAGCGUUAAUUGGGUUCCUAUAUUCGUACGCUACUACUAAACUUUCGUACAUGUAGUUCCACCUAGUCGGGCAAGGUUUAGGAACCUUUCUUUCUCUAAGUCCAUGUUCGUCACACCUUUUAAAAUAUUCUCUAAGUCUACUUCUACGGUUUGAAUAAAAUAGCCAAUUAAGAGACAUUUUAACCUUUUCAAUUUCUAUGUUUAAUAUUCUCAUGCCAUCACCAACAAU